RNAcentral lists this small RNA (642 nucleotides) under Pan troglodytes (chimpanzee). RNAcentral describes it as "processed transcript". Lineage: Eukaryota; Metazoa; Chordata; Mammalia; Primates; Hominidae. The record is from RNAcentral.
CAUUACUCUAGAAAGUUCCUUCAUAUGAAAAUAUGGAAUGCCUCAUGAAUUUAUAUGCCGUUCUUGUGCAGUAGUAUUUAUAGUAAAAAAAAAAAAAAAAAAGGUUUAACAAGGCUUGUUUUCUCUAAAAAAUUACCUGUUCACAAUAGCUCUCUUUUUUAGUGUGCUGAAGGAGGCAUCUGAAUUAUACAUAAAGUUGAGAUGGUCAUUUAUGAGAUUCACUAGAACAGGGUUCUGCAAACUGCAAAUAUGUCUGCCAUCUGAUUUUGUGAAUGAAGUUUUACUGGAACACAGAUGAAGAAAACCUGCUUGAUAUCACACAGUCAGGAGUCAACUGAGUUGGGGCUUUGAACUUAGGUUUAUCUGAUGCCAAAGUUUGUGAUGCUCUUCAACCAUUUAGGGUACCGCAGAGUGUGGAUUUUGAAUCACCUGCAUCAGCAUCAUUUUAAAAUAUAGAUUCUGUGGUCCUGACCAGGUCUCUGAAGUCAGAAUAUGAAGUGGAGCUAGGAAUCUAACUUCUUAACAAGUUCCCUAGAUCCCUAAGGGUAUCCCUGAAUGAUACAGUUUUGUUUGAAAGACUGAAAAGCCCAAAGCUGGCCCUUUUGGGAAAUAGCAGUAAAUCAUUGAUAUGUGAAGGUUCCC